GUGGAGCUCUAGAGUCCUCAACAGCCACUCCCCUGAACGAAAAAAAGUCAACUCAAUAAUUCCAAAACUAUUGAUCAAGAGUUGUCUUGCUAAAGCAUUUAUGUUCAUCGUGUCAUGAAAAUGAGGAAAGAGAAGCUUAUGAAUGGGGUGAAGCACACUUAGUUGCCUAUUUGUUGCAAUCACAAAUGACUCGAUCACCGCAUGCGUAUUCAACCUGAGAAGGAAAGACAGUCAACGCAAGAAUUCCGCCACCAUUGA
Molecule: long non-coding RNA, 258 nt
Organism: Solanum dulcamara
Lineage: Eukaryota; Viridiplantae; Streptophyta; Magnoliopsida; Solanales; Solanaceae
Exons: 3
Source: RefSeq, a predicted model, not a curated record